RNAcentral lists this ribosomal RNA (311 nucleotides) under uncultured soil bacterium. Its description in RNAcentral is "bacterial SSU rRNA". It matches the Rfam family "Bacterial small subunit ribosomal RNA", at positions 26 to 363 of the family's 1533-position model. The record is from RNAcentral.
AGAACGAACGCUGGCGGCGCGCCUAACACAUGCAAGUCGGACGCAUUCGCAAGAGUGAGUGGCGGACGGGUGAGUAACACGUGGGAACCUGCCUUGGGGUCUGGGAUAGCUGCGGGAAACUGCAGGUAACACCGGAUACGCACGAGAGUGGAAAGUUUACGCCCUAUAGAUGGGCCCGCGUCGGAUUAGGUAGUUGGUGGGGUAAUGGCCUACCAAGGCAACGAUCAGUAUCCGGCCUGAGGAGGGGCGGACGGACACGACUGGGACUGAGACACGGCCCAGACUCCUACGGGAGCAGCGAGUGGGGAAUU